Long non-coding RNA from Notolabrus celidotus (New Zealand spotty), 681 nucleotides. RefSeq lists it as uncharacterized. The transcript has 2 exons. The record is from RefSeq and is a predicted model, not a curated record. NCBI's taxonomy places the organism in Eukaryota, Metazoa, Chordata, Actinopteri, Labriformes, Labridae.
AGAGCCAUGCAACUAAUCACCUCACAGUCCAGCUGGCAGUGGGAGAUCUGGUUUCCAUUUCAAUGCAACACUUUUUUUUAAUAAUGACCAGAAGGAUUUGACACUAAGGAGAGAGAGAGAGUAGCCACAUCCAAACAUCUACAAUGUUUCAGGAUUUAUCAAUAUGUAAUCUGUGAGCACAACCUUUCCACAUGUGUAAGUAAAUCAGAAAAACAGAACUCAGUUUUUUAUAUUGUUUCUUGGUAAAGACAGCACAGAGGCACUAUAGCUGGAAUGAAGGGUGCAGAGCUGAAAACAUCCCUCUGGAGCUGGUCCUCUGUGUCCUGCAGAGAGCUCCAGGACAAGGUGUAAUUUCACUUAAAGAUCAGAAGGGCACUGGUUAGGAUAAUUGAUACCCUGGAGGUAGUGGUUGAGUUGUGCAAGAAAAACUGCCACUAUGGCCUUCUUCAUUAGUGAACUGGGACAGAGAGAAACAGGGUGAUGGAUUAUCAGUAUUUAAUGCCAGAAAGGAGAAUGAUUGCAAGUAAUGGGUGAUCAUUUUGUUAAGGUGUAAAAUCAUUCCAGUAUAUUUUAAUUUUUCCAUCACAAGAUAAUGCAAAUAAAAACAAGGAUCUUAGCAUAGAUUAAGCAUUUUAAACCCAUUGUACUGUUUUGUCGUUUAUUAAAUACACAUGAGAAUUU